GAUCCUGGCUCAGGAUGAACGCUGGCUACAGGCUUAACACAUGCAAGUCGAGGGGAAACGGCAUUGAGUGCUUGCACUGAAUGGACGUCGACCGGCGCACGGGUGAGUAACGCGUAUCCAACCUUCCCGUUACUGCGGGAUAACCUGCCGAAAGGCAGACUAAUACCGCAUGUUCUUCGAUGACGGCAUCAGAUUCGAAGCAAAGAUCCGUCGGUAACGGAGGGGGAUGCGUCUGAUUAG
Molecule: ribosomal RNA, 240 nt
Filed under: uncultured bacterium
Lineage: Bacteria
Description: partial 16S ribosomal RNA
Rfam family: Bacterial small subunit ribosomal RNA
Source: RNAcentral